AAUAGGUUAGUUUAUUGAAAAUGCAAGGUUGUCAAUUUUGUGAUACUUUUUAAGUACCUUUUA
This 63-nucleotide transfer RNA is filed under the name Viana regina. RNAcentral's name for it is "tRNA-Asp". The record is from RNAcentral. Lineage: Eukaryota; Metazoa; Mollusca; Gastropoda; Cycloneritida; Helicinidae.